GUACUUACUCCUACGGGAGGCAGCAGUGGGGAAUAUUGGACGAUGGGGGGAACCCUGAUCCAGCCAUGCCGCGUGUGUGAAGAAGGCCUUUUGGUUGUAAAGCACUUUAAGCGAGGAGGAGGCUACCGAGAUUAAUACUCUUGGAUAGUGGACGUUACUCGCAGAAUAAGCACCGGCUAACUCUGUGCCAGCAGCCGCGGUAAUACAGAGGGUGCGAGCGUUAAUCGGAUUUACUGGGCGUAAAGCGCGCGUAGGUGGCCAAGUAAGUCAAAUGUGAAAUCCCCGAGCUUAACUUGGGAAUUGCGUUCGAUACUGGUUGGUUGGAGUAUGGGAGAGGAUGGUAGAAUUCCAGGUGUAGCGGUGAAAUGCGUAGAGAUCUGGAGGAAUACCGAUGGCGAAGGCAGCCAUCUGGCCUAAUACUGACACUGAGGUGCGAAAGCAUGGGGAGCAAACAGGAUUAGAUACCCGAGUAGUCCAGGCAU
RNAcentral lists this ribosomal RNA (482 nucleotides) under uncultured bacterium. Its description in RNAcentral is "bacterial SSU rRNA". It matches the Rfam family "Bacterial small subunit ribosomal RNA", at positions 329 to 802 of the family's 1533-position model. The record is from RNAcentral.